CUUCUCGAUAAUUGUCUCACAAGAGCUUCCCGUUAUACAGCUCACAUGAGCUUCUUGUUACAUGGUUGUUAGAUCAAGACAAGUAUGAUCAUUUUCUGUGGAAACACAAAAACAAAAAGAUACAUCAAUAUUACAGAGACUAAAAAGUUCAAAGAUCAGUAAAAAAACAAAUAAAACCUGCAAAUCACACCAUCUCAUCAGCCGAC
RNAcentral lists this long non-coding RNA (206 nucleotides) under Gossypium raimondii (Peruvian cotton). Its description in RNAcentral is "long non-coding RNA (GRAI_LNC000889)". Lineage: Eukaryota; Viridiplantae; Streptophyta; Magnoliopsida; Malvales; Malvaceae. The record is from RNAcentral.